CACCCGCGGCGCGAGCGAGCGCAUGCAACAAAACAAAACAAACUCGUGCCGGCUUCCUGUUGUGCAACCUCUUUCUGAGCCGGGUGUUGGAAGGAGGGUGGACUUUGGAAUCAGAAAACCUGGAAAUCUCAACUCCACUACUUACUCCAAAGACGAGAGGUUGUACCCUGGCCCAUUGAGGACUUCAGUCCUGCUACCUGAGGCUUUGUAAAGAGCAGGUCUCCAGCAGAAGGUGUGGCCCAGAUUAAAGGUGUGUGCCACCACGCCUGGAUCUGGGACUUGCUUUGUCCCAGAUGACCUUGAGCUCAGAGAUCUCCUUGCCUUAGUCUCCUGAGAUUCAUAGCCACUAUGCCUCAAGAUGUCCAGGCCAAGAUUCAGGUCAGAAACUUCUCUCUCAGUCUCAAGAUCUGGAUCACAGAGCCGAACAUUACCCCACCUUGGAGAGUUCGGUGCAUGCGAAUGACGAGUGGAUGUAUCACAAAUACACACCAGGGUAUGAAGAGACUUCUGUUGGAAGCUACCAAGUGUCACUGUAAGAAGAGACACCAUCUUAUCCUGGUUGUUUAUAUUAGUUCUCUACAGGUUCUGUGACAAAGUCUGAUAGACUGCUGACUUCAGACAACAGGAUACAUCUUCUUGCAGCUCAAGAGGCUGAUUUACUCCAAGGAUUUCUCAUGCCCUUUGGAGUCCUAUCCUGUCCCUAAUUAGUCUAGUAGAAACUCUGAAAUCCCACCUUUGUCUCAAUAUCUUAAAACAGAACUCCCACAAAGGAAGACAUAUCCCAAAUCAAUAUCAUAGAACAGACAUGCCUUGCUAGAAGUCCUCUGUCACCCUUGAGACCUUUCACCCUCAAACCUGGUGUUCUGAGGCAAAGAUCGUGCUCUGACUCUCAGCAUCUGUUAUUGACUUCAACUUCGCUGCGGAAGACUCCCUCCAAUGGUUUAGUUGAGUACAAGACUACCCAGCUAAAGACAGGAUAUAAUAAUGUGUAAUAUAACAUACACUCAUAUGUAAUAAAAAUUAUUCCUGUUUGCCUG
RNAcentral lists this long non-coding RNA (1037 nucleotides) under Mus spretus (western wild mouse). RNAcentral's name for it is "RIKEN cDNA D930032P07 gene (ENSMSPG00010036887.1)". The record is from RNAcentral. Lineage: Eukaryota; Metazoa; Chordata; Mammalia; Rodentia; Muridae.